CAAGAGUGCAAGACUCCCUAAAACCAUUGACCGACCUUCUACCAAGUUGCUUCGGCGGCGCGGCUCCCCUCACGGGACCGCAGCCCCCGCACUCCCGGAGGUAAGGGGCAGCCCGCCGGAAGGAUACCGAAACUCUUGUACUAUUAGUGGCUCUCUCCGAGUAUUAAACUAAUAAGUUA
RNAcentral lists this unclassified non-coding RNA (179 nucleotides) under soil metagenome. RNAcentral's name for it is "partial internal transcribed spacer 1". The record is from RNAcentral.